Molecule: long non-coding RNA, 143 nt
Organism: Tyto alba (common barn owl)
Lineage: Eukaryota; Metazoa; Chordata; Aves; Strigiformes; Tytonidae
Exons: 3
Source: RefSeq, a predicted model, not a curated record
UGGAGAGCCACAAGCAAAGUAGGAUUUGGCACCGGAGGCAGCUUGGGCGAGUGUGUUACAGGUGGCACACGAGCCUUGACGUGACAACUGGAAACAGCAGCGGCAGGGCAGGUGAAGGGCCGAGGUGCCGCGGAGGGGCCGAG